This 533-nucleotide ribosomal RNA is filed under the name Escherichia coli. RNAcentral's name for it is "partial 23S ribosomal RNA". It matches the Rfam family "Bacterial large subunit ribosomal RNA", at positions 1213 to 1747 of the family's 2925-position model. Lineage: Bacteria; Pseudomonadati; Pseudomonadota; Gammaproteobacteria; Enterobacterales; Enterobacteriaceae. The record is from RNAcentral.
CUUAUGCGUUGUUGGGUAGGGGAGCGUUCUGUAAGCCUGUGAAGGUGUGCUGUGAGGCAUGCUGGAGGUAUCAGAAGUGCGAAUGCUGACAUAAGUAACGAUAAAGCGGGUGAAAAGCCCGCUCGCCGGAAGACCAAGGGUUCCUGUCCAACGUUAAUCGGGGCAGGGUGAGUCGACCCCUAAGGCGAGGCCGAAAGGCGUAGUCGAUGGGAAACAGGUUAAUAUUCCUGUACUUGGUGUUACUGCGAAGGGGGGACGGAGAAGGCUAUGUUGGCCGGGCGACGGUUGUCCCGGUUUAAGCGUGUAGGCUGGUUUUCCAGGCAAAUCCGGAAAAUCAAGGCUGAGGCGUGAUGACGAGGCACUACGGUGCUGAAGCAACAAAUGCCCUGCUUCCAGGAAAAGCCUCUAAGCAUCAGGUAACAUCAAAUCGUACCCCAAACCGACACAGGUGGUCAGGUAGAGAAUACCAAGGCGCUUGAGAGAACUCGGGUGAAGGAACUAGGCAAAAUGGUGCCGUAACUUCGGGAGAAGGC